This 402-nucleotide ribosomal RNA is filed under the name uncultured bacterium. RNAcentral's name for it is "bacterial SSU rRNA". It matches the Rfam family "Bacterial small subunit ribosomal RNA", at positions 28 to 419 of the family's 1533-position model. The record is from RNAcentral.
AGUGAACGCUGGCGGCAGGCCUAACACAUGCAAGUCGAGCGGCAGCGCGUCCGACCACCCUCGGGUGGUCGGAUGGCGGCGAGCGGCGGACGGGUGAGGAAUGCAUCGGAAUCUGCCUCGUUGUGGGGGAUAACGUAGGGAAACUUACGCUAAUACCGCAUACGACCUACGGGUGAAAGUGGGGGACCUUCGGGCCUCACGCGAUGAGAUGAGCCGAUGCCGGAUUAGCUAGUUGGCGGGGUAAAGGCCCACCAAGGCGACGAUCCGUAGCUCGGUCUGAGAGGAUGAUCAGCCACACUGGAACUGAGACGCGGUCCAGACUCCUACGGGAGCAGCAGUGGGGAAUCUUAGACAAUGGGCGCAAGCCUGAUCUAGCCAUGCCGCGUGACGAUGAAGGCCUUA